Molecule: ribosomal RNA, 253 nt
Filed under: uncultured bacterium
Lineage: Bacteria
Description: partial 16S ribosomal RNA
Rfam family: Bacterial small subunit ribosomal RNA
Source: RNAcentral
UACAGAGGGUGCGAACGUUGCUCGGAAUUACUGGGCGUAAAGCGCGUGUAGGCGGAUGGGUAAGUCAGAUGUGAAAUCCCCGGGCUCAACCCGGGAACUGCAUUUGAAACUGCUCGUCUUGAGUACCGGAGAGGGUGGCGGAAUUCCUGGUGUAGAGGUGAAAUUCGUAGAUAUCAGGAGGAACACCGGUGGCGAAGGCGGCCACCUGGACGGUAACUGACGCUGAGACGCGAAAGCGUGGGGAGCAAACAGG